CAAAGAAAAAGUGUGAAUUUUCAAGGAAAUUAAGUGAAAAAGGUGGUGUGCCCUUCUACAAAGGCAAGGAAAUUACGCUUGGGGAUCACUAAGCUGAGUACACCUGAAAUCUGAACUUUUGGAACCUGCCGGGUUAGCCUGUAGAUAGCAGACAUCGUCGAGAACUAUAGUUGGCCAUACUACUUAAAAAACUAUAGGUUUACUGUCUUUACUACUUUUGUUCAUUUAUGGGCCCAUGUAGCAUUGUAAAUUAAAUUUCAUACUUUGGUUUUCCGUAUUAUAGUUUGUAUAAAUAUAUUUAACUUUUACGUUACUAAAAUCAUUUUCAGA
RNAcentral lists this small RNA (330 nucleotides) under Theobroma cacao (cacao). Its description in RNAcentral is "sRNA Tc02v2_g020290". Lineage: Eukaryota; Viridiplantae; Streptophyta; Magnoliopsida; Malvales; Malvaceae. The record is from RNAcentral.